GUUGAACGCUGGCGGCAGGCUUAACACAUGCAAGUCGAGCGGAGCGAGGGUGCUUGCACCUUAGCUUAGCGGCGGACGGGUGAGUAAUGCUUAGGAAUCUGCCUAUUAGUGGGGGACAACAUUCCGAAAGGAAUGCUAAUACCGCAUACGCCCUACGGGGGAAAGCAGGGGAUCUUCGGACCUUGCGCUAAUAGAUGAGCCUAAGUCGGAUUAGCUAGUUGGUGGGGUAAAGGCCUACCAAGGCGACGAUCUGUAGCGGGUCUGAGAGGAUGAUCCGCCACACUGGGACUGGAACACGGCCCAGACUCCUACGGGAGGCAGCAGUGGGGAAUAUUGGACAAUGGGCGGAAGCCUGAUCCAGCCAUGCCGCGUGUGUGAAGAAGGCCUUUUGGUUGUAAAGCACUUUAAGCGAGGAGGAGGCUACUUAGAUUAAUACUCUGGGAUAGUGGACGUUACUCGCAGAAUAAGCACCGGCUAACUCUGUGCCAGCCGCCGCCGUAA
This 501-nucleotide ribosomal RNA is filed under the name uncultured bacterium. Its description in RNAcentral is "partial 16S ribosomal RNA". It matches the Rfam family "Bacterial small subunit ribosomal RNA", at positions 28 to 523 of the family's 1533-position model. The record is from RNAcentral.